UCCCCGGUAGCUCAAUGGUAGAGCGGGUGGCUGUUAACCACUAGGCUGCAAGUUCGAGUCUUGCCCGGGGAG
This 72-nucleotide transfer RNA is filed under the name Candidatus Erginobacter occultus. RNAcentral's name for it is "tRNA-Asn". It matches the Rfam family "tRNA". From Rfam's summary of the family: Transfer RNA (tRNA) molecules are approximately 80 nucleotides in length. Their secondary structure includes four short double-helical elements and three loops (D, anti-codon, and T loops). The record is from RNAcentral. Lineage: Bacteria; Pseudomonadati; Candidatus Auribacterota; Candidatus Erginobacteria; Candidatus Erginobacterales; Candidatus Erginobacteraceae.